This is a non-coding RNA of Tetranychus urticae (two-spotted spider mite), 486 nucleotides long. The record is from RefSeq and is a predicted model, not a curated record. NCBI's taxonomy places the organism in Eukaryota, Metazoa, Arthropoda, Arachnida, Trombidiformes, Tetranychidae.
AUUUAAAUGAUUUUUUAUCCUUUUUCUAGAUGAACCCUGUUUCUGGCGAUGGUCACACCAAGAAAAUCAUUGUUCAGAUGAAUAUGCGACUUUCGUCACUCACUUGGUUGGUACAAAUCGACUCAACUUGACAGUUUUCACUCAAGAUGCUAUCUGUUGUGAUUUCCUAAAGUUCCAAGAAUGUGCUGUUGGAUCAACUUCUGGAUCAUGUUCUGCUCAAGUUGAAGAUUUUGUCGAGAGAUUUUUCUACAAACUCGCUGGUCAAAAUGCUGUCAAUCGAUGUAAUCGGCGUAAAAAACAACCAUCAUAUGUCAUUAAAUGCUCAGGGAGGAAAAAUUUAUGAAAAAUGGUUCAAUCAAUAAUGUCUAACCUGUUGCAUUCAUCGUCAAUGGUUAUUGACUUUUUAACAAAUCUCUACGACAUGUAAACGAUAAAUAAAAACAUUUAGAAAUGAACUUUGCUUAAUAAAGCAGUAAAUUGUUUUUA